This 1102-nucleotide long non-coding RNA is filed under the name Mustela putorius furo (domestic ferret). RNAcentral describes it as "lncRNA (ENSMPUG00000031037.1)". Lineage: Eukaryota; Metazoa; Chordata; Mammalia; Carnivora; Mustelidae. The record is from RNAcentral.
CUUAAAUGUCAAAAAGCACACCCCACCCCGGGGACUCUGAGCCCACAGAAAGAGACCCUCUAAGGGCCCAUGGAGUGGUCUUUCUGAGGCUGGCUCUGUGAUGAGAGUCGGUUUCACACCUGGCCAGGCACUUCCGGGCCACAGAGCCCCCACCAGAGCAUCUCAGCAACUUGAUCCCACAGAGGACUGUAGACAUUGUUCACAGAGAUGACACCGAACUGCACCUGGCAAUUUUCUUGGAAAAAAACAUCACCGCUAACCAAACCAGAGGCAACCGUCUCUCCUGUAAGAAAGCAGUUCCCACCUCCCAGUUCACGGAGAAAUUCCCCUGUGUCAGCCGUUGGUCAUCACAUGCUUCGCAAGUCAUUUGCUUCUGGAAAUGCGGAAGGCAGCCGGCUGUGAAAUCUCCCAGAACUUGGGGGAAGGAGGCCCGUGCCUCACCCAUGUCUCAGUACCUUGCCAUCAGCCAUGUAAAGGAUCUAAAGAAGCCCCACGAGCUGAAUUUGGAUUGCUCGAUAUAGGACUCAUCCCCACAGCAGAGCCUGAGAACAUGUUGUCUUUGUGCCUGGAGCUGUUGUGCCUGGACCACUCAAGAAGGUUACCUCCCACCUCAUCUAUGCUCUGUUCCAGGCAAUACUCGUGACUGUGAGCAAUCUUAUCAAAAUUUCUUUAAUGUUGAUGCCAUCCCCAAAAGCAUUCAAGCUGCAAAUCGGGAAAUCUGUCACAUUGCCAUCCUCAUUCAACUGUCCAAAGAUUGUUUGAACCCAUUGUAAAAAUAAAUAAAUAAAUAAAUAAAUAAAUAAAUAAAUAAAUAAAUUCCUCGACUGGCUGUCCUCUGAACCCAGAAACUGGGUUUAUGAUGUUCCAAUCAUUAGUCUUCUUUUUCUUUCCAUAGAAACCAUCCCCCUCAUUGACGCCUGCUUUCUUGCCUUGUUAAGUCUCAACACAUGAUUCCAUUAGUAUGUCAACAACAGAAAUAUGUUGAAACAAACUACAUAGACAACAUUUCUUAUAUAAAUCUUCUCCCAGCCUCAUGUGUUUUAUGAGCCAAGAAUGUCUGUCUUGAGGACUUGGCGCCAUCCCUUAGAAAUGUCAUCAUCAA